GAUUAGGUAGUUGCUGGAGUAACGUCCCAACAAGCCGAUAAUCGGUACGGGUUGUGAGAGCAAGAGCCCGGAGAUGGAUUCUGAGACACGAAUCCAGGUCCUACGGGGCGCAGCAGGCGCGAAAACUUUACACUGCGCGAAAGCGCGAUAAGGGGACCUCGAGUGCGUGCGCAAAGCGUACGCUUUUCAGAUGCCUAAAAAGCAUCUGGAAUAAGGGCCGGGCAAGACCGGUGCCAGCCGCCGCGGUAACACCGGCGGCUCAAGUGGUGGCCGCUAUUAUUGGGCUUAAAGGGUCCGUAGCCGGACCAGUUAGUCCCUUGGGAAAUCUUACGGCUUAACCGUAAGGCUGCCAAUGGAUACUGCUGGUCUUGGGACCGGGAGAGGCAAGAGGUACCUCAGGGGUAGGAGUGAAAUCCUGUAAUCCUUGAGGGACCGCCAGUGGCGAAGGCGUCUUGCUAGAACGGGUCCGACGGUGAGGGACGAAAGCUAGGGGCACGAACCGGAUUAGAUACCCGGGUAGUCCUAGCCGUAAACGAUGCGAGCUAGGUGUCACGUGGAUUGCGAAUCCAUGUGGUGCCGAAGGGAAACCGUGAAGCUCGCCGCCUGGGAAGUACGGCCGCAAGGCUGAAACUUAAAGGAAUUGGCGGGGGAGCAC
This 655-nucleotide ribosomal RNA is filed under the name uncultured euryarchaeote. RNAcentral's name for it is "bacterial SSU rRNA". It matches the Rfam family "Archaeal small subunit ribosomal RNA", at positions 223 to 879 of the family's 1478-position model. Lineage: Archaea; Methanobacteriati; Methanobacteriota. The record is from RNAcentral.